RNAcentral lists this ribosomal RNA (250 nucleotides) under uncultured bacterium. RNAcentral describes it as "partial 16S ribosomal RNA". It matches the Rfam family "Bacterial small subunit ribosomal RNA", at positions 524 to 773 of the family's 1533-position model. The record is from RNAcentral.
UACGGAGGGGGCUAGCGUUGUUCGGAAUCACUGGGCGUAAAGCGUAUGUAGGCGGAUCAAAAAGUUAGAUGUGAAAUCCCUGGGCUUAACCUAGGAACUGCAUUUAAAACUAGUGAUCUAGAAUUUGGUAGAGGUUAGUAGAAUUUCCAGUGUAGAGGUGAAAUUCGUAGAUAUUGGAAAGAAUACCAGUGGCGAAGGCGACUAACUGGGCCAUUUUUGACGCUGAGAUACGAAAGCGUGGGUAGCAAAC